RNAcentral lists this ribosomal RNA (482 nucleotides) under uncultured Bacteroidota bacterium. RNAcentral's name for it is "bacterial SSU rRNA". It matches the Rfam family "Bacterial small subunit ribosomal RNA", at positions 28 to 505 of the family's 1533-position model. The record is from RNAcentral. Lineage: Bacteria; Pseudomonadati; Bacteroidota.
GACGAACGCUGGCGGCGGGCUUAACACAUGCAAGUCGAAGGAGAAGGAGGUAGCUUGCUACUUCUGGAGACUGGCGCACGGGUGAGUAACGCGUAGGUAACCUACCUAUUGCAGGGGGAUAACAGCUGGAAACGGCUGCUAAUACCGCAUAUUGCAACAGGCCCGCAUGGGGCUGUUGUGAAAGCUGCGGCGGCAAUAGAUGGGCCUGCGUGCCAUUAGUUAGUUGGUGGGGUAACGGCCUACCAAGACGAUGAUGGCUAGCUGGUCUGAGAGGAUGAUCAGCCACACUGGGACUGAGACACGGCCCAGACUCCUACGGGAGGCAGCAGUGAGGAAUUUUGCGCAAUGGACGAAAGUCUGACGCAGCCACGCCGCGUGGUGGAUGAAGGUUCUAUGAAUUGUAAACACCUUUUGCCAGGGAAGAACCCCGGAGUUUCGACUUCGGUUGACGGUACCUGGUGAAUAAGCACCGGCUAACUCCG